RNAcentral lists this long non-coding RNA (602 nucleotides) under Linum usitatissimum (flax). RNAcentral's name for it is "long non-coding RNA (LUSI_LNC005806)". Lineage: Eukaryota; Viridiplantae; Streptophyta; Magnoliopsida; Malpighiales; Linaceae. The record is from RNAcentral.
UAAGUUCUCAAAGAACAUCAUCAACUUUAAAUUGAGAACACACAAAUGAAUUUCCACAAACCAAAACAUCUCAUUGAAAUUGCAAAGCGAUCAUAACAAACAAAAUGGCUUCCUCUUCCAAGUUCUCCCUCUACUUCAUUGCUUCACUUCUUCUAUUGAGUAAAGAUCCUCAAAUUAAUACUCUUCAAUUUUGUUCUUUUUUUUUUCGAGGAAAAAAUUUUCUUGCUAAUUUUUUCGUUGUGAAUAUAGGUCUGGCAAUGACUAAGGCGGUCACAGCCUUGCCACCGCCGCCGGAGUGCAAAAGGGACAUCGAUUGCGUGCCAUAUUGUGAGAGCAUCCGUAAAGGACUCGCACUCUGCGACGAGAGAACUGGACACUGCAUUUGUUUGGACAGAGUCGAUGCUCGUGGUGAUGUGCACCCUGUUGCUCAUUAGAAAACGAUCGAUGAUGAGGUUGAAGAGUGGAGAGUCCAGUUAUUGUAGUAACAAUAUCUUUUACUAGCUUGGUUAAGUUGUUGUUUCGAUUUUUGGGUCGAAUCGGUUUGUCCCAAUUCGACAAACUUGAUGAAUGAAUAAAAGAAGGUUUUUAAAUAAUUAACCAUC